Molecule: small nucleolar RNA, 121 nt
Filed under: Cervus hanglu yarkandensis (Yarkand deer)
Lineage: Eukaryota; Metazoa; Chordata; Mammalia; Artiodactyla; Cervidae
Description: Small nucleolar RNA SNORA70 (ENSCHYG00000013969.1)
Rfam family: Small nucleolar RNA SNORA70
About the family: snoRNA U70 seems to be exclusive to mammals and is a member of the H/ACA class of snoRNA which contain H (ANANNA) and ACA box motifs.
Source: Rfam by way of RNAcentral
UUGCAGCCGAUUAAGCCAACCAUGGAGGCCUGGUGUGCAAUGGUUGCAAACAGCAGCCUCUUCCACAGUGUAUGCAGCCUGUUGCCUGUGGCCGUUGCCUUAAGGAACCCUGGAGACAGCA